GGGACGGGGCGGCGGGAGCGGCGGGCAGCGAGCGGGAGGCAGCAGGGACCGGGCGGCUGUGCCAGGAGCCGCGGGGCGUCCCCCAGGCAGGGGCCGUGCGGCCGCAGCGUAGCAAAAACGCGGAGCAGCGACAGAGGAGCGGCGCGGCCCGGCUCCGGAACGCGGCCGGGAGAGCUCCCCUGGAGGGGGAAAGGGCCCGGGGUUCCGGGGUUUCCCCUGAGGCACCCGAGCAGAUGGCCAAGGGUCCUUCUUCGCUGAGGGUGUUGGUAGGACUCCAGUGCAACAGCCGCUUCCACAAGCACGGCUUCGCUGCCGGUGGGAGAAGGCGGCAGGAGACGGAGCCUCGCAGCGCUGCCGAGCUGUCCCCACAGUGAGCACAGCGGCUUCUCCUCGGACGGAGGAGAGCACGAGAGCGAGGAGCUGCACCCAAUCCACCUCCCCCGGGCAAAUCUCGCAGCUUCUCUGCCCCUCCAAGAGAAACUCCUCAGAUAAGAGAGUAGCCAGCCGCACCCUCCCCGUGGCAACUUCUUUUGUCUCUCUUAAGUACUGGUCGUUACGGUUUCUUAGCGACAGCUGGGACGAAAUUCCAUGAGAGACAGAAGCACAAGGAAAAAUCCUAAACCCCAACAACAAGCGCUAUGCAGUAGUGUUUCUGCUGUGGGUCUCUUUUCCUGCCACGUCGGGAGCAAGGCUGGCGAGUGGUGUGCAGCCAGGAGUCAGGGGUGUGAAUAACCAGCAGAUUCCUGGGAGGAGAGCUGUGUACCUGAUCCUGCAGAUGCUGUGGGACGUCUGUUUGCAGUGAUGCAGGCUGAGCUGGCUGAGUAACACUGAACAUCUGCCUUAAGGCAAGUCACCUGGCCCAGCUCUUGAAACCACCAGCUUCAUUGGCAGCAAAUGAAGUCCUUGGCUGAAGAGAGAAAUCGAGGACUUAAAACUGUCUGUGCAGGAAACAGAGCCAGCACCAGACCUUGCCCCUGGCCCACAGAGACCCCAGGAAACCUGCAUCUGCCUCCAGCACCAGCCACCUCUCCAGAGCUCUGAGCAUCCUGCCAUGCAGCUUGGCUUUUGUUUGCCAGCUCAAGAGGAGUCACUGGGAAGAGAAUGAGGUCUGGGCUUUUUCUUUUUUCCCCUUGCCCUUUUAUUUAUUCUCCUCUAUUAAGAACCAGC
Molecule: long non-coding RNA, 1167 nt
Organism: Vidua chalybeata
Lineage: Eukaryota; Metazoa; Chordata; Aves; Passeriformes; Viduidae
Exons: 3
Source: RefSeq, a predicted model, not a curated record